RNAcentral lists this ribosomal RNA (400 nucleotides) under uncultured bacterium. RNAcentral's name for it is "bacterial SSU rRNA". It matches the Rfam family "Bacterial small subunit ribosomal RNA", at positions 355 to 772 of the family's 1533-position model. The record is from RNAcentral.
UGGGGAAUAUUGGACAAUGGGCGAAAGCCUGAUCCAGCAAUGCCGCGUGAGUGAUGAAGGCCUUAGGGUUGUAAAGCUCUUUUACCCGGGAAGAUAAUGACUGUACCGGGAGAAUAAGCUCCGGCUAACUUCGUGCCAGCAGCCGCGGUAAUACGGAGGGGGCUAGCGUUGUUCGGAAUUACUGGGCGUAAAGCGCGCGUAGGCGGCUUUGUAAGUCAGAGGUGAAAGCCUGGAGCUCAACUCCAGAACUGCCUUUGAAACUACAUCGCUUGAAUCAUGGAGAGGUUAGUGGAAUUCCGAGUGUAGAGGUGAAAUUCGUAGAUAUUCGCAAGAACACCAGUGGCGAAGGCGGCUCACUGGCCCGGUACUGACGCUGAGGAGCGAAAGCGUGGGGAGCGAA